GUUUAAGAGGCAGCACCUGGUUCACUCUGUCUUUUUCCCUUCGCUAUGAGACUGGCAAGGUUCCAGAUAGCAACUGUUCUAGCAGCCAGGGUCCUGGAGAGAAGUCAACAUGAAGCAGAGCCACAGAUACGCCACAGAUAAGCUUAUGUAAUGAAGAGCUUCUCGCUUGUUGCCCAGGCUGGAGUGCAAUGGUGCGAUCUCAGCUUACUAAAUCUUCCGCCUGACAUGUUCAAGCAAUUCUCCUGCCUCAGCCUCCCAAGUAGCUGGAAUUACAGGUGCCCACCACCAUGUCCAGCUAAUUUUUUUUUUUUUUUUUUUUUUGUAUUUUUAGUAGAGACGGGUUUUCACCAUGUUGGCCAGCCCGGUCUUGAACUCCGUCAGCCUCCCAAAGUGCUAGGAUUAACAGGCGUGAGCCGGCACGCCCGGCCUCCCCGCUGAAUCCUUUCUUCAUUUUAUCAUAAUCCUUCUAAAUACACUUUCGGGAACUUUAAAAGAUGCCUACCACCAUUUGUCUCUCAUGAAGAUGUGAACUGCGACUGGAAACAGCUCAGUCUCUCACAGGGAAAGCACAAUGACACAGAAGGAAAUAUAGAAGUCCCCAAAUUAGGAAUCUUGGAUUUUAGACCCAGUGUUCCCUUAACUGCUUAAAGUGUGACCUCAAGAGGAUGAAAUUUAACCACAUCAAAGAAACCUACAGCUCUGAUACUCUCAGAAAAAAUAAGACUCAACACAAAGAGAGUAAAAAGAGUUAUUCUGUCAACGAAGGGUCUUGACCGAAUAAUGUAUACAUCAGAUCUUUUCAUCUUGCACUUCUUGGACACUGUGAUUCAAAAGGGAGAUUAUUUGUGUCAGUAAAGAAGUAUCCAUAAUGAUAAAACACAAGUACUUCAAAGAACAACCUGUGCUUCUCAAAAGGAAAAUAGUUUGGAUCCAUUUACUUUUCUCCUCUACUUCACAUUCUAAAUGACUGAGAAAAUGUCUUCUCGUUUUCAAUACAACCCAUGGGAAAUCAUACUCAAAUAAGUAGUAACUGAAUGAACUAAUCUGGAAAAGUGGUCCUCAAUUUGUUUCUGUAAUAUCAGCUAUCACAAUACUGCCUUGAUAUUUCAUACAAUUCUGCAGAGUAUAAAAAAGCAAAAGCCUCUAAAAGUUGGUACUAGAAUGUACUACACGCUCAAUAUAGACCACAAAAUGGAUCAGACAUGAAGCUUAGUAUUGUCUGUGUGCACAGUGUUUAAAUAUUCCCUUGUUUUAAAAGUGCCAGUGUUUGUUAAGUAACUUAAAAUAUUUGCCACAUGUAGCUUAUUUUUUUUACUUUUUAUUAUAUUUUUGUCAUAGGUAAAAAAGUGAAAAGAUUUAUGACAGUCAUUUUUUUAAAACUAAGUUAAGCUAUAUAAAUUGUUGUGAAAUAAAAUACAUUUUAAUUAUAUACAAUAAAGAUCCUAAUUUUAAUUUGCAAGUAUUUUCAAGAUUACAAGUAACGUUAUCAAUUGUUUUACUUAUAACAAUAUUCCUAGGGUGUCUACAUUUAAUAAUUCUAAGUUUUUAAAACAAUUUUAAACUAUUUCAUUUAACAGACAAUACAAACUAACUAAGAUAAAUUGAGAAAUAUAAAUAUCCCUCACCUGUGUUUUUAAAAUUAGAGACAACUUUUGUAUCAUUCCAGAUAUAAUUUAUACCUAUAUAAAUGUGUUUAUUUUAAAUGUGCCAUUUAAAAGAACUGGUUUAUGCUUUGAAAUGGCUGCAUAAUAUUCUACUCUACCUAGAUACCAUUAAAUAUUGAAUCAGCUCUCUAUUGUGUGUUUUUUGCUGUUGUUACUGACAGAUUUUGUAAUUACAAUGCAGAUUAAAAACUUGUUUUAAAAAAUGUGAUUUUGCUCAUAGACAUAUGUCUUUAGAAUACAUUCGUCAUAGUACAAUUGCUGAGACAAAGAGUUUACGCAUUUGGAAAUUUUAUAAAUAUUAUCACAUUGCUUUCUAUCAAUAUCAUCUCACAAGUAUAAUGACAAGUGAAAGAUACUAGGUAUGAACAUUUAUGUAGUAUUCAAAAGCAGAUAAGUUUAUUACCCUGUCAGAAGAUAGCAAAAUGAUUAACUUUAUGAAGGUUUCAAGCACUUAGUUUGAGGGAAGGCAGGAUAGGCAGUUUCAUGAGAAAGGUAUGUCCCAUCUCUUGAUCAGGGUGAAGUUUAAAUGGAGUUGUUUCCUUGAUGAUGCAUCAAAGUCACCACUUGAAAUUUGAUUACUUUUUAAUAUAUGCUAUACUUCAAAAUGUUUAUUAACAUGCAAAUCAUAUAAUGAAUUCCAUUAAUUUAGUGAGAGAAAUUUUUUUUAUAUGCUUCGAAGUCAUUUGUUUUGUUGUUUGCGUUUACUCAGAACAGUGUGUCAAUCUCCUUGACUGAUAUUUCUAUUGUUUCUAGCAGGUCAUUUAAUAGUUUAUAAUGUUUAUAUUUUCAAAGUUUAUUGGGGUGUAAUUUAUUUAUAAUACUGUACAUAUUUAAAGUUCAAAAUAAGUUAAGCCUUAACAUGUAUAUACAGCCAUGAACACAUAACCAUAAAGUAGGUCCUAAAUAUAUUCACCACUCACAAAUGUUUCCUUGUGAACCUUUGUCAUUCCACCCGCCCUUACUUCUUCCGCAUAAUCUCCAUCUAUAGCAACUACCAAUCUAUUUUCUGUUAUUAUAAAUUAAUGUGCAUUUUCUGGAAUUUUAUAUAAAUGGAAUCAUAUCAUAUGUACUUUGUUUUGUCUUGUUUUUUCAGUAAAAUUAUUUUGAGAUUCAUACAUGUUGUUACAUGUAUCAAUAGUUCAUUACUUUUUAUUGUUGAGUAGUAUUUCAUCAUAUGGAUAUGCCACAAUGUGUUCACACCUUAACAUAAAUUUGUCAAUGUAGUUUCCAGUCAUUGGUUAUUAAAUAUAAAGUUUCUUGAAAACUGAUCUAUAAGUAUUGAUAUGGAAUGUGAUUUCUUUUCUCUUGGGUAAAUUCCUGGAAGAAAAUUGGUUCUAUCAAAUGGUGUUUGCAUGUUUAACAGUUAUAGCCAAACCAUUUUCCAAAGUGGUUGUAAUAUUUUACAUUCCUCACAGCAGUGUAUGAGAAAUCAAAUUGUUCCAAAAGUUUGCUAAGACUUGUACAUUUAGAUGUAUCACCAAUUUUGGGUAAAUUUUUGUACUAAUUGUGAGUUGCAAUUGAGGUUCACUUUUUUAUAUGGAUACUCCUUUUUUUACACAAUACAUGUUGAAAGCAUCACCUUGUAUUAAUUGAACUGCCUUUGCAUCUUAUUAAAAUCAGUUUCAAUAUAUGUGAGGUUCUAUUUCUGAACUCUAUUCUCUGUUACAUUGAUUUAUGUGAACACUUUUUCACUGAAGCCACACUAUUUUGAGAACUGUAGUCUUGAAAUUGAGUAUUGGUAAUCCUCUAAAUGUGUUUGUUUUUAUAAAAAUUGUUUUGGCUAUUUAGAUCACUUUGCCAUUCAAAUAAAAUUUAAAAUCUGCUUGUUGAUAGCUACAGAAAAGUUACUGGCAUUUUAACUAGGAAUACAUUAAACUUAUAGAUAAGAUUGAGGAGAAUUGCCAUUUUAUUCUUCCAAUUAAUGGCUAUAUUACAUG
This 3601-nucleotide long non-coding RNA is filed under the name Homo sapiens (human). RNAcentral's name for it is "HSALNT0044409". Lineage: Eukaryota; Metazoa; Chordata; Mammalia; Primates; Hominidae. The record is from RNAcentral.